RNAcentral lists this ribosomal RNA (497 nucleotides) under uncultured bacterium. Its description in RNAcentral is "partial 16S ribosomal RNA". It matches the Rfam family "Bacterial small subunit ribosomal RNA", at positions 28 to 507 of the family's 1533-position model. The record is from RNAcentral.
GAUGAACGCUGGCGGCGUGCCUAAUACAUGCAAGUCGAGCGAACGGACGAGAAGCUUGCUUCUCUGAUGUUAGCGGCGGACGGGUGAGUAACACGUGGAUAACCUACAUAUAAGACUGGGAUAACUUCGGGAAACCGGAGCUAAUACCGGAUAAUAUUUUGAACCGCAUGGUUCAAAAGUGAAAGACGGUCUUGCUGUCACUUAUAGAUGGAUCCGCGCUGCAUUAGCUAGUUGGUAAGGUAACGGCUUACCAAGGCAACGAUGCAUAGCCGACCUGAGAGGGUGGUCGGCCACACUGGAACUGAGACACGGUCCAGACUCCUACGGGAGGCAGCAGUAGGGAAUCUUACGCAAUGGGCGAAAGCAUGACGGAGCAACGCCGCGUGAGUGAUGAAGGUCUUCGGAUCGUAAAACUCUGUUAUUAGGGAAGAACAUAUGUGUAAGUAACUGUGCACAUCUUGACGGUACCUAAUCAGAAAGCCACGGCUAACUACGUG